UCUCUGGUGGCUCAGUCAGUAAAGCGUCUGCCUGCAAUGCGGGUGACCCGGGUUCGAUUCCUGGGUCGGGAA
Molecule: transfer RNA, 72 nt
Filed under: Ovis aries (sheep)
Lineage: Eukaryota; Metazoa; Chordata; Mammalia; Artiodactyla; Bovidae
Rfam family: tRNA
About the family: Transfer RNA (tRNA) molecules are approximately 80 nucleotides in length. Their secondary structure includes four short double-helical elements and three loops (D, anti-codon, and T loops).
Source: Rfam by way of RNAcentral